Cyprinus carpio (common carp) is the source of this 1289-nucleotide long non-coding RNA. NCBI's taxonomy places the organism in Eukaryota, Metazoa, Chordata, Actinopteri, Cypriniformes, Cyprinidae. The record is from Ensembl.
GAAAGAAAGAAAGAAAGAAAGAAUGAAUGAAAGAAUGAAUGAACGAACGAAUGAACGAACGAACAAAUAAAAAAAUUGACUUUUUAUGACAAGGCAAGGUUCCGGUAAAAAUAUGUCAUAACUGUCAAUCGAUUAAAAAAUAACUAAUUUAUUUCACUUUUUUUUUCUGAAAUUAAUUGUGAUUAAUCCCACCUAACAUGGAUAAAAAUUUAAAUGUACUUUCAUAUUGCAAUAAUUUAAAAUUCAAUCUUCAAAUUAAAGCUCCAAUAUGUAGGAAUUUUGUAAUAAAAUUUCCGAAAAUAACUUGCACAGUGUGAUAUAUUUCCUCCAGUUGUGUACUUACAAUAUCUCAAAAGUCUCCAAAGAUUUUUUAUUUCAGAGAAAUUCCGAUUUUAAAUAACUGGCCGUCCCGGAAAAAAUAUGUCGCCUCGCAGUGACGCAAUGUCCGCUCUAUACUUUUUUUCCGGUGUAGACCACGUUCCACCACACCGUAAUAUCACAUGGUCAAAUGCGGAAGUGGUGGUUAUGUUAUAGCCGCGCGUAUGGUUUGGUUGUCGUUGUUAUGGAUCACGAUAACUCUUUGGCGAGUAUUGAAGUGCCAGUAAAACGUAAGCGUCCAUAUUCGGAUACACGCAGACUGUGUGACAAACGGAGGAUUAAAACCAGGAUAAAUAUCGGCCAGGCGUUUACGAGAUGGAGAGAGCUGCGCGAAAAUCUUGGACUUGACAGAGACUCUGCUCUCGCGAGUGUAUUGAUAGACAGUGGCUGAGUCUCCUGGAACCGUUCGGAUGACAGAUCAAAGCUUCUCGCUCGCUCUGUGCUGGUCCAGCUACUCUGGUGAUGCUAGCCAUCGGUCCUGGAUCCAAAGACAGGCUUCUGCCUUCACAGACCAUGGCUUGGAUUGUUUCCCCAAGUGCGGACAUUGGGCUUUGAUGGUCAGUUUGCUGUGACUGAGACCCAAGGGUAGGCUUAGAAGGGCUGAACAUGGGAAAAGAGGAUGAAACGGAAGCUGGAAAAAAGAGAAAAAUUCUCCUUUCCGCAGACAGAUUUUGUCAGCAGCAUUCAUGCUUCAUAAGCUGGAGUUAGCAUGUUUUUGGUUGUGUGUAAGCACUAUAGGAGUUGAGCCAAAACAUAAGCAGCAGAGAUAUCCCACAAUGUGUGGCUUUUGGGGGCUAAACCUGAAUUAACUGAAAAGCUCAUUUUGAAUUAAUUAUAUGAUAUGGUGAUUAAGUAACCAAAUGAAUAAUAAUUCAAAUAAAUAUUUGCUGAAAAAAAAAGAAAGAAAAGUA